This is a non-coding RNA of Acanthosepion pharaonis, 97 nucleotides long. NCBI's taxonomy places the organism in Eukaryota, Metazoa, Mollusca, Cephalopoda, Sepiida, Sepiidae. The record is from the annotation of a GenBank genome assembly.
GUUGAAACACCAGUUCCCGUACGAUCAUCGAAGUUAAGCAACGUUGAGCCUGAUCAGUACCUAGAUGGGUGACCGCUUGGGAAUACCAGGUACAGUA